CCCCGUAUCUGUCGCCCGUGACCUCCGUGGCGCCCCGUCCCGGCGGCCAGUACCUGAGGCGCGAGUGUCCGCGCGGCCAGGGCCUUAGUCAGACCACUUCGAAGGAUGAGCAUGGUGCGGCCUUGAAUGCUGGGAAAGGCAGCCAAAUCUAGAGACAGGCAGACUUGCUCAACCUGAUGGAUGGCAAAGGCUCCUUACCAGGUGAAGGGCUGGAUAUUCACACAGCAACAGUUCGUGGCCCUUUCGUGGAAAAGGUUGCUGAUCACUAGAUGGAGUUGGAAGGGAUUCUUGCCUCAGAUUGUCCUGCCAGCUGUUUGUCUGUGUUGCCCUGGUGUUCAGCUUGAUCAUGCCACCCUUUGGCAAGUACCCCAGCCUGGAACUUCAGCCCUGGAUGUACAGUGAACAGUACACAUUUGUCAGCAACACAGCAAAAGCUCCAGAGGAGGGAAUAAAAAUAUAAAACACUAUUAAAAAAUCAGAAUGUGGGGCCUCCCCUGGUGGUGCAGCGGUUGAGCGCUGGGCUGUGAAGCUGCCUGCAGCCUCUACAACACUGGUUCCAUCCCCGGCUGCCAGCCAGGGUCCCAAAAUGGCGCGAGAGACCUCUCCUGCCACGCCUGUUGCUCCCCUCAGCACUGUAUUUUGUCAGUCUUCCUGUUCUGUUCCCCACUCUGGCUCUGGUGAAUUCUCUCAUCCUCCCACGCUUCUGACUGUACCUAGUGCUUGUAUAAAUAAAUAAAUUAAUUAAAAAAAAUCAGAAUGUGUAUAUAGGCUUUUAUUAGGGCAAACAUUUCCAUGACCACAAUAUCUUUUUAAAACAAAUGUUUCAAGUAUCUUUGUUAGUGAUCCAACAUAAAAUUAAAAUUAGUAAAAUUAAU
Molecule: long non-coding RNA, 875 nt
Organism: Talpa occidentalis (Iberian mole)
Lineage: Eukaryota; Metazoa; Chordata; Mammalia; Eulipotyphla; Talpidae
Exons: 4
Source: RefSeq, a predicted model, not a curated record